GCUAGUUGGUGAGGUAACGGCUCACCAAGGCCACGAUCCGUAGCUGGUCUGAGAGGAUGAUCAGCCACAUCGGGACUGAGACACGGCCCGAACUCCUACGGGAGGCAGCAGUGGGGAAUAUUGGACAAUGGGGGCAACCCUGAUCCAGCCAUGCCGCGUGUGUGAAGAAGGCCCUCGGGUUGUAAAGCACUUUCAGCGAGGAAGAACGCCUAGCGGUUAAUACCCGCUAGGAAAGACAUCACUCGCAGAAGAAGCACCGGCUAACUCCGUGCCAGCAGCCGCGGUAAUACGGAGGGUGCAAGCGUUAAUCGGAAUUACUGGGCGUAAAGCGCGCGUAGGUGGCUUGAUAAGCCGGUUGUGAAAGCCCCGGGCUCAACCUGGGAACGGCAUCCGGAAACUGUCAAGCUAGAGUGCAGGAGAGGAAAGGUAGAAUUUCCC
RNAcentral lists this ribosomal RNA (438 nucleotides) under Vreelandella aquamarina. RNAcentral's name for it is "bacterial SSU rRNA". It matches the Rfam family "Bacterial small subunit ribosomal RNA", at positions 244 to 672 of the family's 1533-position model. The record is from RNAcentral. Lineage: Bacteria; Pseudomonadati; Pseudomonadota; Gammaproteobacteria; Oceanospirillales; Halomonadaceae.